AAGAAAUUGAAAAACUGACAAUUUGUGUUUCUAAGCAGAAAAUGGACAUUGAUCAAUACAUCAAGGAAUAAAACAGAUAAAAUUCCUAAUAUGAGAAAACCAGCAAUGAUGAUGCAAAGUUGAUAUUAUGAUAAAGUCACAAACAUUACGCACAGUGCAGUGCACUGUGCAUAAUGUUGGUGACAGUCAGUGCAGUACACAUUAUGUGUGCAUUGCACUUUAUAUAACCUGUCAAGAUGUCUUAAGGAACACAAGAACAUACUAAUAUUAAUGUGGGACUUUUAAAUAGAAUAUAUUAAUGCCAACCAGAGGUAAAAUGGGAAGAAGCUAGAAUUAAGAAACACAUCCUGAACCAAAAACAAGUUCUGCUGAUUGAAGGGACAGAUUUUUAUAGCAACAAAUGAAAAAGGGAAUAUUGUUAAUAAUCACAAAUGAUAAAAUGCAUGAAGUAUAAAAUGAUACUGUGACUCCUGGUUGCUGAUGUGCUUUCAGCAAUAGUUGUCACAUCACCCCCCAUAGUCUUUAUGCUAUCAACCUCAGAGCUUUCAAUAGAAAACUGGAAGUCAGCAAUAAGCUGGUAGUCCCAGAAUAAGUGGGCUAUUACCUACCUUUGCUAUGCUAUGGUAGGUAGCAAAGUAGAUAGCAAAGGUGAUAUCACUCACAAUAGAAAACAUUACUAAACAACAUAAACUUGUUCUUUUAAUUCGUUAAAUUUUGAAAAUAAUUAAUAUAAAGCAGUACAGGAUCAUACUUAACAUCAACACUCUUAAUAUUUACAGAAAAUAGUAGCAUGCUGACAGUGUUCACAAUCACUUAAAACACAGUUUAGAAAAUAUUAAAACUGAAUACUUUUAUGUUCUAAAUGAAUUCUUUUAUUUUGAAUAUUUUCAUUUUUCUUAAUUUCUAUGAGCAAAUGAUAAUCACAUUGCAUUAUAUUGAACAAAUAUGGCAAACAAUUCCUAUUGUAAAUUGGCCAAAAUUUAAUUUAUGUGUUUUUGCAUUAUGAUGCUACAAUAAGGGUUGAGCAUGCAAAGUCUUGACCUCUUCUUAAUGAGUAAUUUAUGUUAUGGCCCAGAAAGAAAAUCGGGAUAUUUUGAUAUUGAUUAUAACACUUUAUGAUAGAGAAUCCACCAGAAUUAUAUUCUCACAAUCCCAAAACCUUGAGCAUUAUCAUCCAAUGAAACAUAGCAUGUGCAUUGACAAGGAGAACUUUCUGGUUGCCUCCAUUCUUGAUUUUUGUUUUGGGAUUGAAGUAGGAUAUCCAGAUUUCAUCAGUUAUUAUCAAUCAGUGAUAAAAAUUGUCAUCAUAUGUUUCUUAUAGGUCAAAUAAGUUUCAACAAAUGACAUCCUCUUAAAUUUUCUGUUUUGAUUCCAACAGUCAGCACCUAAAUAGGAUGCCAACUGUAGACUAUUUUUUGGAAACUUUAUUUAUUCUCAAAAUUUAAGCAGAAUUUCAUGAACUCUUCUGGUACUGAUACCUAUAUCAUUAGAAAUAUCCUAAAUAGUUACACACACACACACACCUACACACACACACACACACACACACACACCUCUUUCAUGACAAGUUUUCUAAAGAUGCUUUGUUUUCAUCAUUAAUUGCAGUGUUUGGUUGGCCCAAAAGUACUUCAAUAA
This 1635-nucleotide long non-coding RNA is filed under the name Androctonus crassicauda. Lineage: Eukaryota; Metazoa; Arthropoda; Arachnida; Scorpiones; Buthidae. The record is from RNAcentral.